CGGGUGAGUAACACGUGGGUAACCUACCCAGAGGUGGGGGAUAACCCUUCGAAAGGAGGGCUAAUACCGCAUAACAUCCCGAGGUCCUCGGGCUUCGUGAUCAAAGCUAGCCUCUACUUGUAAGCUAGCGCCACUGGAGGGGCCCGCGCCCCAUUAGCUUGUUGGUGAGGUAAAGGCUCACCAAGGCCACGAUGGGUAGCCGGCCUGAGAGGGCGAUCGGCCACACUGGAACUGAGACACGGUCCAG
This 247-nucleotide ribosomal RNA is filed under the name uncultured bacterium. Its description in RNAcentral is "partial 16S ribosomal RNA". It matches the Rfam family "Bacterial small subunit ribosomal RNA", at positions 103 to 334 of the family's 1533-position model. The record is from RNAcentral.